AGCGCAGCUACACAUGCAGUCGACGCUGAAGCUCCAGCUUGCUGGGGUGGAUGAGUGGCGAACGGGUGAGUAACACGUGAGUAACCUUCCCUUGACUCUGGGAUAAGCCCGGGAAACUGGGUCUAAUACCGGAUAUGACUUCUCAUCGCAUGGUGAGGGGUGGAAAGAUUUAUCGGUCUUGGAUGGACUCGCGGCCUAUCAGCUUGUUGGUGAGGUAAUGGCUCACCAAGGCGACGACGGGUAGCCGGCCUGAGAGGGUGACCGGCCACACUGGGACUGAGACACGGCCCAGACUCCUACGGGAGGCAGCAGUGGGGAAUAUUGCACAAUGGGCGCAAGCCUGAUGCAGCGACGCCGCGUGAGGGAUGACGGCCUUCGGGUUGUAAACCUCUUUCAGUAGGGAAGAAGCGAAAGUGACGGUACCUGCAGAAGAAGCGCCGGCUAACUACGUGCCAGCAGCCGCGGUAAUACGUAGGGCGCGAGCGUUAUCCGGAAUUAUUGGGCGUAAAGAGCUUGUAGGCGGUUUUGUCGCGUCUGCCGUGAAGUCCGGGGCUUAACCCCCAGUAUCUGCGGGUGUGUACCGUCAGACUAGAGCUGCAGUAGGGGAGACCGGUAUGCUGGUGCUAGCGGUGAAAUGCGCAGAUAUCGGGAGCAACACUGAUGCAGCAGUCUCUGCCUGUACUGACGCUGAGAGCGUAGCAUGCGAGCCACGGACUGGAUGCCAUGUAGUCCAUGCGCUAACCUUGCCAUAGGUGCGCCAUCAGUAUCGCGACUAGCAUACGUUCGCUAGGAAUCGUCGAGUAAACUGAGAU
RNAcentral lists this ribosomal RNA (812 nucleotides) under Citricoccus sp. SRHGAs38. RNAcentral's name for it is "bacterial SSU rRNA". It matches the Rfam family "Bacterial small subunit ribosomal RNA". Lineage: Bacteria; Bacillati; Actinomycetota; Actinomycetes; Micrococcales; Micrococcaceae. The record is from RNAcentral.